AUUGAACGCUGGCGGCAUGCCUUACACAUGCAAGUCGAACGGCAGCACGGGAGCAAUCCUGGUGGCGAGUGGCGAACGGGUGAGUAAUAUAUCGGAACAUGCCCAGUCGUGGGGGAUAACGCAGCGAAAGCUGUGCUAAUACCGCAUACGAUCUAGGAUGAAAGCGGGGGAUCGCAAGACCUCGCGCGAUUGGAGCGGCCGAUAUCAGAUUAGCUAGUUGGUGGGGUAAAGGCCCACCAAGGCGACGAUCUGUAGCUGGUCUGAGAGGACGACCAGCCACACUGGAACUGAGACACGGUCCAGACUCCUACGGGAGGCAGCAGUGGGGAAUUUUGGACAAUGGGCGCAAGCCUGAUCCAGCAAUGCCGCGUGCAGGAUGAAGGCCUUCGGGUUGUAAACUGCUUUUGUACGGAACGAAACGGCCCUUUCUAAUACAGGGGGCUAAUGACGGUACCGUAAGAAUAAGCACCGGCUAACUACGUGCCAGCCGCCGCCGUAA
Molecule: ribosomal RNA, 499 nt
Filed under: uncultured bacterium
Lineage: Bacteria
Description: partial 16S ribosomal RNA
Rfam family: Bacterial small subunit ribosomal RNA
Source: RNAcentral